GAUGAACGCUGGCGGCGUGCCUAAUACAUGCAAGUCGAGCGAACGGACGAGAAGCUUGCUUCUCUGAUGUUAGCGGCGGACGGGUGAGUAACACGUGGAUAACCUACCUAUAAGACUGGGAUAACUUCGGGAAACCGGAGCUAAUACCGGAUAAUAUUUUGAACCGCAUGGUUCAAAAGUGAAAGACGGUCUUGCUGUCACUUAUAGAUGGAUCCGCGCUGCAUUAGCCAGUUGGUAAGGUAACGGCUUACCAAGGCAACGAUGCAUAGCCGACCUGAGGGGGUGAUCGGCCACACUGGAACUGGGACACGGUCCAGACUCCUACGGGAGGCAGCAGUAGGGAAUCUUCCGCAAUGGGCGAAAGCCUGACGGAGCAACGCCGCGUGAGUGAUGAAGGUCUUCGGAUCGUAAAACUCUGUUAUUAGGGAAGAACAUAUGUGUAAGUAACUGUGCACAUCUUGACGGUACCUAAUCAGAAAGCCACGGCUAACUACGUG
Molecule: ribosomal RNA, 497 nt
Filed under: uncultured bacterium
Lineage: Bacteria
Description: partial 16S ribosomal RNA
Rfam family: Bacterial small subunit ribosomal RNA
Source: RNAcentral